AACUCCUUGGCCCACACGGGAUUGAGCUUCAGGGGCCACUGCGGGGUCGAAGUCAGAGCAUGGCUACAGAGUGGAGAAGGUGCGGAAGCCGACCCCCGUCCUGAGAGGAUGGCGGGGACCUGGGCCUGUCAGCACGGUGCUCUUGAAUCUCAGGAGAAAAGGCCUAGGACGCCGAGGGAUGGUGCAUGCUGGGCCCUGGCAGAUGGAUGGAGGGAUGCCGAGACGGGCGGAAAUUCCUGGAAAAUGAAGAGAGCACUAUUUCAGAGGGGAACAUCCCUGCGUCAGAGGAGGCAGCUGCUGAACGUUGCUGAAAGGGAAAGGAACCUGCAAAACAGUGAUGGUGGCAGCAGUGCGGCCGCGGAAGGCGGGCAAGCCUGUGCCCUGCGGCCCUGAACCUGCACCCGCCCCGUCCUUUCCUUGGGGUGAGGGGACCAACCUGGCCUCCCUGCAGGGGCCUGGGCAUAGGGCCUGGGGCACGGGACAGAGCUGCACAGGGGGGACCUGCCUGCGCCGGACAGCUGGGCCCACCAAGGCCGCCAGACAGCCCAAACCCUUCCCAGGCUGCAGGGAGGCCCCAGCUGGUGUGGCCUCAAACCCGGCAUCUGUUUCUUCACUCCUGGGGCUCCCUUUGAACUUGAACCUUGCAAAGCCCAAGUAACAAUAAAAAAGCCAAGGAACAGGUGCUGCGGCAGAGGACGGGGGACAGGCCGUCUGGGAGCCUCAGGGGGUGCCGCCUUUGUUUCAGCGCCUGCAGUCUCCGGCUCCCGCAUGAAACUGCUCGGGACCCACGUCAGCGCCAAGUUCCAACGAGGAAAAUAUAGCAGCGCACAAUAUGUUGUUUUGGCAGAAAGCUAUGAAUUUUAGUAUGGAAUGUCUGUCACAGGGCCCAUCCAAUUAACUCACUUGUCGAGAAAUCAGAAUAAAUAGUUGAGAGGAGGCGA
This is a long non-coding RNA of Cebus imitator (Panamanian white-faced capuchin), 941 nucleotides long. RefSeq lists it as uncharacterized. The transcript is spliced from 2 exons. Lineage: Eukaryota; Metazoa; Chordata; Mammalia; Primates; Cebidae. The record is from RefSeq and is a predicted model, not a curated record.